UCUUUGCUCAGAUUUUCCACCAAGUACAUAGCUGUUAUUAUAGCCCCUCACCCUAGACCACUAUGAUCCUUAGAACCAUGGAUCAUGAGAGCUGAUCAUCUGGCCCAAGCCCUUCAUGUUACAAAUGAGAAACUGCUGCACCAUGGUCCUAAGGUUCUCAGCAAACUCCGGUAUCCUCUUGGGACACGCUGGGGGAUUUGGCACUCUUCCCUAAAGUGUUUUCUCCUCUGGUUUUCACUUCAGGUGCAACAUCAGCUACUUAGAAGAAUGGCUUAAAGAUAAGAAUUUACAAAAUAGCUUAGCCAAGGAAACUUUGGAACCCCUCUCUCAGGCAGCCUGGUUGCUUCAGGUCAAGAAGACCACAGACAGUGAUGCCAAGGAGAUCUAUGAAUGCUGCACCUCCCUGUCUGCUGUGCAGAUCAUAAAGAUCCUUAAUUCAUACACACCUAUAGAUGACUUCGAGAAAAGAGUGACUCCAUCCUUUGUUCGCAAAGUACAGGCUCUCCUAAAUAACCGGGAGGAUUCAUCACAGCUGAUGUUGGAUACCAAAUAUCUCUUUCAAGUCACGUUUCCUUUUACCCCCUCUCCGCAUGCUCUGGAAAUGAUCCAGAUCCCCAGCAGUUUUAAGCUAGGCUUUCUCAAUAGAUUAUAGCAGGAGGAAAAGUCAAUGCACUUUUUCCUCAAAACCUACAUGAAUGUGGUUUAUUAAUUGGAACUGGAAAUGCUUGGAAUGUGAUUUAAGGAAGAAAACAGAGUUCUCCCAACUGGGCCACAUCCUCUCUUACGGAGAUGGUGCUGCCACUGUAAUUUGGUAAGAAUUAACACACACCAGCUGUCGUUGGAAAGGCCCUGUUUAGCUUUGCAGUCCCAGCUGGCUUUUAUUUGGAAUCUGUGGAAGGCUUACGUUUUCUUCCAGGGGCCUCUUAGUCUAUUCUAUCUUGUGACAGGGCUCCACUCAGAGGGAGUGAGAUCUGGGGAUACAGCGGCUCCCAAGUUCUCUAAGGUUCAUGUGAAGCCCAGGUACACUGAUGAAGCCACAAGUGGGUUCCAGGGCUGAGUCUUCCAGAAAAUAAUGCCGUUUGGCCACCAGGGCCUGCCACGAGGUCGUCUUGCCCCAUGCCUGCUUCGGAGUGGGGAGGGUGUUGGUUCAUUGAUUCUUUUUACUAAAAGUGCCCCUGCAUAAAAAAAAAAAUUUCUUAUUUCAGACCCCUCUAAUUUUUAAGAGAAUAUUCAAACUGAAAUGAAUCAUGAAGUAUGUUUAUGUAUAUAUCUAUUUAAAACUACUAUAUUAUUAAAGCUUAAUUGCCAUGCCAUUUAUCAUUUUUUCUUCUGAAAGAACAUUUCUUUAAAUUUUAUCUGCCAACAUAUUCACCAUAAUUUUUCAUUGUUUAAUAUCUUUUAUUACUAAGUUUUAAAAGGCAACCCAAAUGAUUUUCUCUAUUUAAUCCACAUUCCAAUAUAUUUAUUUUUUAAUUGAGAAGUCUGUAUUUUGAGAAGUCUGUAUUUUCUAAGUUUUUAUGGAACUGGCUAUUCCUUGUCCCCCCAAACCUCCUUGUUUCUUCCUUUCGUAGCAAAAAUGUCAUUUGAUGAGCACUCCUAGCCUAUGGCCUGAGGACCCCUCACUUUUCUGCACCACCCCCAGAACACCAGCCCCCUCCUGCUUCUGACAGUCACAGGCAAUAGCUUUGGUUCUAGAAUACAGACAUAUGUCUUGGGAGUGGGAAUAAUACAUGAUUAUGAAGCAACAUCACCCCACUACUAUGCAAUAACGUCUUUUCAUAUUAUGAUUGUGUUCAGUUUAUUUCAAUACAUUGUAUAAGAAAAAAUGAAAAGCAGAACUUUGUAAUACUUCUAUCAAUAAAUUACCUUGAAUGAA
This is a long non-coding RNA of Galeopterus variegatus (Sunda flying lemur), 1876 nucleotides long. RefSeq lists it as uncharacterized. The transcript has 3 exons. The record is from RefSeq and is a predicted model, not a curated record. Lineage: Eukaryota; Metazoa; Chordata; Mammalia; Dermoptera; Cynocephalidae.